Molecule: ribosomal RNA, 429 nt
Filed under: Chloroflexota bacterium
Lineage: Bacteria; Bacillati; Chloroflexota
Description: Chloroflexi bacterium partial 16S ribosomal RNA
Rfam family: Bacterial small subunit ribosomal RNA
Source: RNAcentral
UGGGGAAUAUUGCACAAUGGGCGCAAGCCUGAUGCAGCCAUGCCGCGUGUAUGAAGAAGGCCUUCGGGUUGUAAAGUACUUUCAGCGGGGAGGAAGGGAGUAAAGUUAAUACCUUUACUCAUUGACGUUACCCGCAGAAGAAGCACCGGCUAACUCCGUGCCAGCAGCCGCGGUAAUACGGAGGGUGCAAGCGUUAAUCGGAAUUACUGGGCGUAAAGCGCACGCAGGCGGUUUGUUAAGUCAGAUGUGAAAUCCCCGGGCUCAACCUGGGAACUGCAUCUGAUACUGGCAAGCUUGAGUCUCGUAGAGGGGGGUAGAAUUCCAGGUGUAGCGGUGAAAUGCGUAGAGAUCUGGAGGAAUACCGGUGGCGAAGGCGGCCCCCUGGACGAAGACUGACGCUCAGGUGCGAAAGCGUGGGGAGCAACCAGG